Molecule: ribosomal RNA, 369 nt
Filed under: uncultured bacterium
Lineage: Bacteria
Description: bacterial SSU rRNA
Rfam family: Bacterial small subunit ribosomal RNA
Source: RNAcentral
GAUGAACGCUAGCGGCAGGCCUAACACAUGCAAGUCGAGGGGCAGCACGUCUUCGGAUGGUGGCGACCGGCGCACGGGUGCGUAACGCGUAUGCAACCUACCUCUUACAGUGGGAUAGCCCAGAGAAAUUUGGAUUAAUACCGCAUAGUAUACAGAUUCAGCAUUGGGACUGUAUUAAACNUUUANGGGUAANGAUGGGCAUGCGUUCUAUUAGUUAGUUGGAGUGGUAACGGCACCCCAAGACAGCGAUAGAUAGGGGCCCUGAGAGGGGGGAUCCCCCGACACCUGGUACUGAGACACGGACCAGACUCCUACGGGAGGCAGCAGUGAGGAAUAUUGGACAAUGGGCGAGAGCCUGAUCCAGCCAUG